RNAcentral lists this ribosomal RNA (497 nucleotides) under uncultured bacterium. Its description in RNAcentral is "bacterial SSU rRNA". It matches the Rfam family "Bacterial small subunit ribosomal RNA", at positions 28 to 479 of the family's 1533-position model. The record is from RNAcentral.
GAUGAACGCUGGCGGCGUGCCUAAUACAUGCAAGUCGAACGCAUUGUGGUUGAAAUGGUAUGAAGAACUUGUUCAGAUUUGAUUUUCAACAUUGCAAUGAGUGGCGAACGGGUGAGUAACACGUGGGAAACCUACCUCUUAGCAGGGGAUAACAUUUGGAAACAAAUGCUAAUACCGUAUAAUAAUUAAAACCGCAUGGUUUUAGUUUAAAAGAUGGUCUUGCUAUCACUAAGGGAUGGUCCCGCGGUGUAUUAGUUAGUUGGUGAGGUAAUGGCUCACCAAGACAAUGAUACAUAGCCGAGUUGAGAGACUGACCGGCCACAAUGGGACUGAGACACGGCCCAUACUCCUACGGGAGGCAGCAGUAGGGAAUCUUCCACAAUGGACGAAAGUCUGAUGGAGCAACGCCGCGUGUGUGAUGAAGGGUUUCGGCUCGUAAAACACUGUUGUAAGAGAAGAAUGACAUUGAGAGUAACUGUUCAAUGUGUGACGGUAUC